Molecule: ribosomal RNA, 511 nt
Filed under: Dacus fumosus
Lineage: Eukaryota; Metazoa; Arthropoda; Insecta; Diptera; Tephritidae
Description: partial 16S ribosomal RNA
Rfam family: Bacterial large subunit ribosomal RNA (bases 388-511)
Source: RNAcentral
GUCUUUUUGAGUUAUUUUUAAAGUCUGACCUGCCCACUGAUUUUUUGAAUGGCCGCAGUAUUUUAACUGUGCAAAGGUAGCAUAAUCAUUAGUCUUUUAAUUGAAGGCUGGUAUGAACGGUUGGACGAGGUAUAAGCUGUUUCAUAUAAAUUUAUAAUAGAAUUUUAUAUUUUAGUUAAAAAGCUAAAAUAAAGUUAAAAGACGAGAAGACCCUAUAAAUCUUUAUAUUUUAUAUAAUUUAAGUUUUUUUGAUUUGUUUUAUUUUUAUUAUAGGAAAUAUUUUGUUGGGGUGAUGUUAAAAUUUGAUGAACUUUUAAUUUGUUUUAAGUCAUUAAUUUAUGAAUUUUUGAUCCAUUAAUAGUGAUUAUAAGAUUAAGUUACUUUAGGGAUAACAGCGUAAUUUUUUUGGAGAGUUCAUAUCGAUAAAAAAGGUUGCGACCUCGAUGUUGGAUUAAGAUAUAAUUUAGGUGUAGCUGCUUAAAGGUUAAGUCUGUUCGACUUUUAAAUUCUU